AGCAGCCGCGGUAAUUCCAGCUCCAAUAGCGUAUAUUAAAGUUGUUGCAGUUAAAAAGCUCGUAGUUGAAUUUCGGGGUUCUUCCGUUGGUCGGGCUAUCCAGUCUGUACUAGCGUGUAGAAUUCCUACCUUCUGGGGAACCAUCAUGUUAUUAAUUUAGCGUGGUGGGAAACCAGAACCUUUACCUUGAAAAAAUUAGAGUGUUCAAAGCAGGCUUACGUCUGAAUACAUUAGCAUGGAAUAAUAGAAUAGGACGGUGGUCCUGUUUUGUUGGUUUCUGAAUCACCGUAAUGAUUAAUAGGGAUAGUUGGGGGCAUUAGUAUUCAAUUGUCAGAGGUGAAAUUCUUGGAUUUAUUGAAGACUAACUUCUGCGAAAGCAUUUGCCAAGGAUGCUUUCAUUAAUCAAGAACGAAAGUUAGGGGAUCGAAGACGAUCAGAUACCGUCGUAGUCUUAACCAUAAACUAUGCCGACUAGGGAUCGGACGAUGUUAAAUUUUAUUGACUCGUUCGGCGUCCCUAC
This 520-nucleotide ribosomal RNA is filed under the name uncultured Glomeromycotina. RNAcentral describes it as "SSU rRNA". It matches the Rfam family "Eukaryotic small subunit ribosomal RNA", at positions 569 to 1092 of the family's 1831-position model. Lineage: Eukaryota; Fungi; Glomeromycota. The record is from RNAcentral.